This 254-nucleotide ribosomal RNA is filed under the name uncultured bacterium. RNAcentral describes it as "partial 16S ribosomal RNA". It matches the Rfam family "Bacterial small subunit ribosomal RNA", at positions 524 to 776 of the family's 1533-position model. The record is from RNAcentral.
UACGGAGGGUGCAAGCGUUAUCCGGAUUCACUGGGUUUAAAGGGCGCGUAGGCGGCCACUGCAAGUCGGUUGUGAAAUCUCCGGGCUUAACCCGGAAAGGUCAACCGAUACUGCAGGGCUAGAGUGCAGAAGGGGCAACUGGAAUUCUCGGUGUAGCGGUGAAAUGCGUAGAUAUCGAGAGGAACACCUGCGGCGAAGGCGGGUUGCUGGGCUGACACUGACGCUGAAGCGCGAAAGCUAGGGGAGCAAACAGG